GGAGGAAAAGAACUAACAAGGAUUCCCCUAGUAACUGCGAGUGAAGCGGGAAAAGCUCAAAUUUAAAAUCUGGCGGUCUCUGGCCGUCCGAGUUGUAAUCUAGAGAAGUGAUGCCCCCGCUGGACCGUGUACAAGUCUCCUGGAAUGGAGCGUCAUAGAGGGUGAGAAUCCCGUCUCUGACACGGACUACCAGGGCUUUGUGGUACGCUCUCAAAGAGUCGAGUUGUUUGGGAAUGCAGCUCAAAAUGGGUGGUAAAUUCCAUCUAAAGCUAAAUAUUGGCGAGAGACCGAUAGCGAACAAGUACCGUGAGGGAAAGAUGAAAAGAACUUUGGAAAGAGAGUUAAACAGUACGUGAAAUUGCUGAAAGGGAAACGCUUGAAGUCAGUCACGUUGGCCGGGAAUCAGCCUCGCUCUUUUGCGUGGUGUACUUUCUGGUUGACGGGUCAGCAUCAAUUUUGACCGCUGGAAAAAGGCUUGAGGAAUGUGGCAGCUCCGGCUGUGUUAUAGCUUCAUGUCACAUACAGCGGUUGGGAUUGAGGAACUCAGCACGCCGCAAGGCCGGGUUUCGACCACGUUCGUGCUUAGGAUGCUGGCAUAAUGGCUUUA
This 607-nucleotide ribosomal RNA is filed under the name Mycetarotes senticosus symbiont OC23. RNAcentral's name for it is "eukaryotic LSU rRNA". It matches the Rfam family "Eukaryotic large subunit ribosomal RNA", at positions 52 to 642 of the family's 3401-position model. The record is from RNAcentral. Lineage: Eukaryota; Fungi; Basidiomycota; Agaricomycetes; Agaricales; Agaricaceae.